RNAcentral lists this long non-coding RNA (3759 nucleotides) under Homo sapiens (human). Its description in RNAcentral is "HSALNT0095088". The record is from RNAcentral. Lineage: Eukaryota; Metazoa; Chordata; Mammalia; Primates; Hominidae.
UGCAUUCUGGUAAUAAACUCCAUGUGAUUAUAUAUAAUGCAUAAUUCUUUUUACAUAUUGCUGGAUUUGAUUGGCUAAAUUUUGGUGAGGAUUUUUGUUUCCAUGUUCGUGAGGAAUGUUGCUAUGUAGUUUAUUUUGUACUCUGUCUGGUUCAGGUAUUAGUGUGACACUGGCCUCAUAAAGUAAGUUGGGAAGUGUUCCUCCCUCUUACAUUUUCUGGAACAAACUGUGUAGAAUUGACGCCAGUGGUUUUUAAAUGUUUGGUUAAUAUCUCCAGUGAAACUAUCUGAACCUGGAGACUUCCUUUAUAGAAGGUUUUUCACUACAAAUUCAAGUUUUUUUAAUGGUUAUAGGACUACUCGUAUUAUUUCAUAUUGGGUAAAUUUGGAUAAUAUGUGCUUAUAAAACAGCUGGACUAUUUCAUGAAAGUUAUCAAAUUUAUAUGCAUAGAGUUGUUCAUAGUAUUCUCUUACUGUAUUUUCCUUUUAAUUUCUGCAGGAUCUGUAAUGAUAUUCCUGGUUUCAUUCUUGAUACAGUUUUUGUUCCUGUUUCCCAUUUCUCACCUUCCUGUGACAAACCAAGUCUGAAGAUUCAGCCGUACGUGGGAUCCUGCAGGGACAGCCUGCCCUAAAAGCCAAGAAGAGAAAAGGCUCAUGAGGUACAAGGUCUUUGGAAGGCUGUCGGGAUGGCCAGCAAGCCAACAGGACUUACUAGUUCAUGAAGACACGACUCAGCUGUGUUCAGUUACCUCCUCAAUCCACCCAUCCCUCUCCCUUGAACACACACACCACUCGCAUAAACUCACUUUGCUAAUCUAUAAGGAAAUCUGUAAGGGAAUGACGUAAGAUGGGCAAGAGGAUUCACACUUGAAUCUAGAGACCAAUGUCCCCCAGUUAGAACCUGCAUAUUUAAGCUCUUCUAUGUCUUCUUGAGCUAAUAAAAGCUUUGUGUUACGUGCAGCAGGUAAGUGGUAGAUAACUACUCAUUCCUCAGGACAUGCUACUUUACCGUCUCUUCCAUGACACCCUUCCUGCCCCUCCUCGACAGUCAGUCCCACAGGGCCCCAGACAGCCUGCCAUCCCAGCAAGCUUACACCUCACCACCUGCAUCUGUUUAAUUAGGCUCCUUCUAUGAGGCUCUCUCCUUCCUAAGCACAGGGACUGUAUUUCCUCCUUUUUGAUUUCCCAGCCCUUAGGCCAGGGCUUGGCACAUAAAAGUGUGGCACUUAACGUUAUGAAAAGGAAGAAGGAAGAGACUGGAAGGCAAGAGGACAGAGCAAGCCAAGGAGGCAGGGAGUGGAGCCAAGAGAAACUGAAAACCUACACCCACCUAUCUAUGGAGCUGAUCCACAGCUGGGAAAAACAAGUGUUGUGAAUCGAUGGGCUAUUCCUAUGCACUGCACAAAACUACUCAAGUAUAGUUAAAAAGCAACUGUGCAGUAGCACAUACUACAAAUGGAAUGCUACACACAUUCAUUCAUUCAUGAAACUGCUGUAGGGAUGGAGAAUUUCAGGGAAAAGGUUUUUCAGGAGAUGGGAGAUUUGAAGCAAAGAUGGUGCUUCUGACAACCUGGACUUUGACUCUGCUUUCUCCUGCCAGAGGACAGCAUUGCCUUGCUGGUGUUAAGUUUGAUUUAAGAACCCAAAUCAAUGACUUUCAGAAAAAAUUCCUCCGAAGGAAGCACACAGCACAAGUUCUCUCAAAUAAUCAGGUAAACUCAAGUAUAGAAGGAUAAUGAUAUAGGCAAGUAUUCACCAGUUCUCGCAAUUCUGGGAGGCCCAUAGAGAACUCUGAGUUCCACCAGUCACUCUAUCCCCAAUCAAGAUGCCAGGGAUAUCGCACACCAUGCUGUUGCUGUUCCUGCCGUCCCACUUCAGUAGGGAGUUUCUGUAUGUUUUACUUUAAAAAAUGGGAACCUACAUACAGUAUAUAGAAGUAUGUGCAUAAUGAUCUCCCUCUAACCCCAACCAUUAUUUUCAAGGAUAAAAAAUACAUUCAGGCCAGGCAUGGUUGCUCACACUUUGGGAGGCCAAGGCAGGUGGAUCACCUGAGGUCAGGAGUUCGAGACCAGCCUUGGCAAAUGGUGAAACCCCAUCUCUACUAAAAAUACAAAAAUUAGCCAAGUGUGGUGGCAGGAACCUGUAAUCUCAGCUACUUGGGAGGCUGAGGCAGGAGAACUGCUUGAACCUGAAUGGUGGAGGUUGCAGUAAGCCAAGAUCACGCCACUGCACUCCAGCCUGGGCAACAGUGCAAGACUCCGUCUCAAAAAAAAAAGUUCAGAGCGCAGUGGAAAAAUCCUUCUCUGGGGUGGCCCUCCUGAUAAAGUUGGGGUCAAAUGAAGAAAAAAGCGAGUCCCAGACUAGGAAUAAAGGGAAUACCAGAGUAAGGAAGCCCCAUGUGCAAAUGCACUGACACGGAACCCAAUAGGCCACAGAAGCUGAGGAGAGACUAGGCCACAGAACUAACUGGAAGGGCUGUGGGGGCUGCUGGCUUGGUACCACCAGGAAGCCUGGGUUCAUAUUCCUAGGAUGGGAAAAUAUUCAUCAAACAGCGGCGGAAGAUGGUUCUGGGAGGAGAGGAGGCUGAAUACUGGCAAGAAUAACAAAGAACUGGCAACUUCUAUCCUAUUACUAUGAUCACAGGGCAAGAGGUAAUUUCUUUAGUACUAAUCUAAUCUCUGAAUGUGUGAAGGGGAGAGGCUGCCUCACCUGGAGAGAUCCCAAACUGACAAGACAAUAGUCCCUUCCUGGAUGAAUGCUAAACAAGACAAUAGUCCCUUCCUGGAUGAAUGCUAAACAAGACAAUAGUCUCUUCCUGGAUGAAUGCUAAAAUGCCAGCCCCCUUUACUCUACCACAUUGAUACCCAAUCUACCUCCCAAACUGGUUGAUUUUUCCUGCUAUGUAUGUCUUGAAUGCAUACUCUUCUCUCCAUCUUCCCCCACUGCUUUUGUCUGAACCAUCACCAUCUCUGAUCUGCGCCCUAUCACAGCUUUCUAACUGGCCUCCCCGAUUCACCUCCCAAUCAAACUGUUCUUUAAAGCGAAUGAUUUUUCUUUUCCAAAAUACCAAACCUAUGUCAUUCUCCUGCUUCAAACCUUUUCAUGGCUUCCUACUAUUCUGAGGAUAAAAAUGAAAAUCCUCACCCUGGUCCAUGAGGCCCUGCAGUAUCUGGCCCCAGCCUACCUCUCCAGCCUUGUCCACUCCUCAUUCCUGUGCUCUAGGCACACUGGUCUUUUUCCAUCCUUCUGAAAGAACCAUGCUACCUCCUACCAGGGGGCCAUUCCAUCUGCUGUUCCCUUUGUCCAGAAGAGUCUUCCCACCCUCAGCCUCCAUCUCCUCAUCCUUCCAAUCCCAGCUAAAGUCACUUCUUCUGAAAGGCAUCCUCUAUUUUCUCAGACUAGAUUUACCUGCCUCCAAAAGAUUUCACAGCACCAUGAAUCCUUUAUAGCACUCACCACAAUCAGUAAUUACACAUUAGUUUUUUUAUUUAUGUAGUGAAUAUAAAUGCUCACCAUUUUAUCCUCAGGGCCUAUAACAUGACCUGGCUGGCAUAUAGUGAACUCUCAAUAAUUAUUUGUUGGUCAAGUGAGGAGGCCCUUGCCUAUAGUCCCAGCACUUUGGGAGGCUGAGACGAGGGGAUCACCUGAGCCCAGGAGUUAGAGACCAGCCUGAGCAACACAAUGAGAUCCCAUCUCUAGAAAAUAAUUUAAAAUUAGCUGAGUGUGGUGGCUCACACCUGUAAUUCCAGCACUUUGGGAG